Molecule: ribosomal RNA, 756 nt
Filed under: Choerophryne sp. SJR9834
Lineage: Eukaryota; Metazoa; Chordata; Amphibia; Anura; Microhylidae
Description: partial 12S ribosomal RNA
Rfam family: Bacterial small subunit ribosomal RNA (bases 1-505)
Source: RNAcentral
CACUAUGCUUAGCCGUAAAAUAUUAACCCACACUUAGCCCGCCAGGGAAUUACAAGCUAAGCUUAAAACCCAAAGGACUUGACGGUGUCCCAUCCCUCUAGAGGAGCCUGUUCUAUAAUCGAUUCUCCCCGAUAUACCUCACCGUUUCUUGUACAUCCAGUCUGUAUACCUCCGUCGCAAGCUUACCAUGUGAACGUACAAAGUGAGCCUAAAGAUUCUCCACCCACACGUCAGGUCAAGGUGCAGCCUACGAAACGGAAAGAAAUGGGCUACAAUCUCUAUCUUAGAACAAACGGAAAACUGUAUGAAACACAGUCAUUGAAGGCGGAUUUAGUAGUAAAAUGAAAAUAGAGAAUUCUUUUUAACUAGGCGCUGGGACGCGUACACACCGCCCGUCACCCUCUUCAAAUAAAACUCAGAAGUCACUAACACUAUAUAAUCAAAUAGAAGAGGCAAGUCGUAACAUGGUAAGUGUACUGGAAAGUGCACUUGGAAUAACAAAAUGUAGCUUAACAAAAGUACCCUGCUUACACCAAGACCAUGUCUGCGAAACCCAGACCAUUUUGAGCUUAAACCUCAGCCCUAUCCCCCCCCAUGAAUUUUUCAUCUCCCAUCCUCCCCAUAAAACAUUUUCCUGACUAAGUAAAGGUGAUUAAAAAGUCUCUAGGAGCCCCAGCACUAGUACCGCAAGGGAAAAGUGAAAUAAAAAUGAAAUAGAUUUAAAGCGCUACAAAGUAAAGAUUUCCCCUUGUACCU